UNGGAGAGUGGGGUAGUCUGCUGGG
This 25-nucleotide non-coding RNA is filed under the name Mus musculus (house mouse). The record is from RNAcentral. Lineage: Eukaryota; Metazoa; Chordata; Mammalia; Rodentia; Muridae.